UNNUNGACCUGCUCAUGNNGUGAAUAGCCGCAGAACUAUUCUGUGCUAAGGUAGCAUAAUCAUUUGUCUUCUAAUUAAAGACUAGAAUGAAAGGUUAAACGAAUAAAAAAUUAUAAUUAUAUAAAAAUAAUUAAAUUAUACUUAUUGUAAAAAUACAACAAUAAAACAAAAAGACGACAAGACCCUGUUGAACUUUACUAAAGUUAUACUGGGGCAGUAUUUCAAUAAAAAUUUCAACUUACAUCAUAAUAAUAACCACCCUAUAAAAAAGAAUUAAAUCAGUUACCACAGGGAUAACAGCGCAAUUUAUUUCCAAAGCUCUUAUAAAAAAAUAAGAUUACGACCUCGAUGUUGAAUUAAUUAAACCAAGCAAAAGCAAAAGUUUGCCUUGAAAGUCUGUUCGACCUUUAAACAAUUACAUGAUCUGAGUCAAAACCCGGAGA
RNAcentral lists this ribosomal RNA (443 nucleotides) under Leptoneta waheulgulensis. RNAcentral's name for it is "partial 16S ribosomal RNA". It matches the Rfam family "Bacterial large subunit ribosomal RNA", at positions 1851 to 2624 of the family's 2925-position model. The record is from RNAcentral. Lineage: Eukaryota; Metazoa; Arthropoda; Arachnida; Araneae; Leptonetidae.